UGGGCACCCUUUGGGAUCCAACCGAUCCAGGAGGGGGCUUGCGUUUUCACACAAACCCCUAUUUAAAAGUGUAGAAUGUCCUCAUUUUUGCAAUAAUACGCAAUCAAUACAACUUUCAACAACGGAUCUCUUGGCUCUCGCAUCGAUGAAGAACGCAGCGAAAUGCGAUACGUAAUGUGAAUUGCAGAAUUCAGUGAAUCAUCGAAUCUUUGAACGCACCUUGCGCCCCUUGGUAUUCCGAGGGGCACACCCGUUUGAGUGUCGUGAAAAUCUCAACCUUCUCGGUUUCUUCUGGACACCGAAGGAGGCUUGGACUCUGGAGGCCUUUGCCGGCAUCUCUUGUCGGCUCCUCUCAAAUGAAUUAGCGGGGUCCUCUUUGCCAAUCCUCGACAUGUGAUAAGAUGUUUCCAUGUCUUGGUUUAUGGCUCUGUUGCUUAUGGGACCCGCUUCUAACCGUCUCAUCGACAAC
This 469-nucleotide ribosomal RNA is filed under the name Lactarius sp. YM3045. RNAcentral describes it as "eukaryotic LSU rRNA". The stretch from base 111 to 264 matches the Rfam family "5.8S ribosomal RNA". Lineage: Eukaryota; Fungi; Basidiomycota; Agaricomycetes; Russulales; Russulaceae. The record is from RNAcentral.